RNAcentral lists this long non-coding RNA (3581 nucleotides) under Olea europaea (common olive). RNAcentral's name for it is "long non-coding RNA (OEUR_LNC009131)". The record is from RNAcentral. Lineage: Eukaryota; Viridiplantae; Streptophyta; Magnoliopsida; Lamiales; Oleaceae.
AAAUUUUUUUUUCUUUUUCAAUCAAUCAUUCUCCAAAAAAAUGCUAUUCCAUUCAUUUUAAUUUGAGGGCAUUCUAUUGAUUAAAUACACAGCAGUUGAAAAGGCAUGUGACCAAAACGUUAAUGGAAGGGAUGUUUGAGAAAAUAAUGUAAGGCCAGUUUUGAUAAUGCGACGGUGUCCUCUUUCUGAGUAUCCAUUAUGUUCAGUUGUGUGAGAUGGGGUUGUUAGAUGAGAGAUGCCAUUGAGAGCUAGGCAAUCUUUAAGGCCCAUAUAUUCUCUCCGAAUAUAGAGUUUGAGUUUUGCGUUCGAAAUAAUUUUCUACAAUGGCUUUGAAUUGGAUAAAAAUUUCUUUUACUUUAGAUUUGGUUUUUUGAGGAUAUAACCAUAUAUAUUUGGUGAAGUGAUAAAAAUAAAAAAACUGACAUAAUAUUUGAAUUCAUCAUGAGAUAAAAUAGGAGAUAUCCAUACAUCAGAAAAUAUUAUUUUAAGAGGUUGCUUUGAAUCAAGAGAUGAAGUUGAAAACGACAACGUACGACUUUUAUUACAUAGACAUGCUUUGCAUGACCAACCUUCAGAAAUAGGAGAUGAUAAACCUAAAUUAAAGUGGGAAAUAAUGUGUUUUAAAAUAGGAAGAGCUGGAUGGCCUAGACGUUGAUACCAAUAUGAAGACGUAGUUUUGACAGUUGAGAGGGCAAGAAUGGGGAAAGUCAUAUAUUUGGCGAUGGCCAUUCAUACACUCCUUCCUUGGUGCUGUCCUUCAACAUAAUUGUCCCUGUGCGAAAAUCCUUCACAUGAAAAGAAGAGGGUAGAAUUCAACAGAUGCAUUAAUAGUGGUGCAAAACUGAGAAACAGAUUUUUUUUUUUUUUCAUAUUUGGAACACAAAGGACAUUAUUUAAUGUAAAUUCAGUAGUGGAGGUUGAAAGAGAGGUGGAAUCAGUUUGCGUGAUGGAAAGACCCGUGCCAUUGCCAAUCAUAACAUCAUCAGAGCCAGUAUAAGGUGUAUGAAGUGUUAAGUUGCUCAAGUCGGCUGAGACAUGAUGAGAAGCUCCGCUGUCAAGUAACCAUGAUAAGUUGUUGCAGGCAACAUUAGCCGCAUAGUGAGCUCAGGGCUGCUAAAGAAUUGUUAAUGUAUUAGUUGGUGGUGCAGAUCCCGUGUUAGUAUGUUGAAUUGAAACCAGCUGGAAUGAUAACAUUUCUUUGCAGUGUGUCCCUUAAUAUCACAAAUUUGAAAGUAACCUAGAUAGGAACAUGGUGAAGGCCGGUUACCACGAGAUGGAGCACCAUUGUUAGGGAUUCGUACAUUAAUAUUAGGCAAUAAACACCAACCUGUGUUGCCAUUAUUGGAUGAAGAAAAUGGGCUCCAACUGUUAUUGGAAUUUUUGGGACCCCAGUUGUUGUAUGUCCUAUUCAUUGGAUUGGCAGUGACUGGAAAAUUCACUUCGAAUUUGGUUUUUGCUUGAAGAGAUCUUCAAAUGUUAAAAGUUUCUCAUGAAGUUCAUCAAAUGUAAUGGGGUUGUCAUGAGCUUGAACAGCACGAACAAGUUCUUUAUAGUCAUCUCCUAGUCCAUCAAAAAUCUUCUCUGUAAGAUCGUCUUCAUACAUUGGUGCUUCAAGUAUAACUAAUUCAUCUGGACGGGUUUAACAUUAUGAAGAAAAUCAGUAAUGUUCAGAGUACCUUUACUGGAAUUUUUUAUAAGAUUUUUGACUUGUUUGAUGUGUCCACGAGAUGGUUUUGCAUGUGUUAGUAAGAAUAACCCAUGCCUCUUGAAAAGUUUUGACUCUAGCAACAAAUGGAAUGAUCAUAGGAGACAGAGAUCCAAUGAGAGCAUUCAGAAUCAGUUGAUUUUGGCGAACCCACAUGUUGUGAGCUGGAUUCGGUGUUGUAGUAUCAUUAACAGUUCGAGUCGUUGGUGGACAAGGAUUGAGGCCAUCAAUAUAUCUAAGAAGAUCAAAAAAGGUGCUACUCUGAUAACAUAUAAACAAUGGUAAAUUGGGAGAAGACUUGGUCACACGCUUCAUUGAUUUCAGGAGUGUAUAUAUAGAUCACAUUACCAGACUAAACAGAUGUAUGCCUGUAUCUAAGGAAGAAGAACUAACAACUUACAGUUAAGAAAUAUCAUAACCAAAUAAUUUCAAAAGUUAAAUUCAAAUUACAGAUAAUACAAAUACAGUUUAUAAGCAUAACAUCUUUGUUAGAACAAAAAAAAUCUGGUAAUUGCGGACCCAAUUAGUUUGUUUCAUGGUGAUAGUUCUUGUGUGAUCAUUGGCUAAGAAAAAUGAGAUUAUCAAUCAAGUUUGCAACAGACGAAGGUUUGUUAUCUUCAUAGCAAUGAAGUCCAUAUCAUAGUCUAUUUUUCCAACAUCGAUGGACAAGGUGUCUGACUAUGAUCAGAAUACUUCCCUCAAGUCAAAUAGAUAUUGAUAGACCUCAAAAAUUAUGAGGGAGGCAGUCAGUGUACUCCAUGUUUGUUGGCAUAACAGAAAUGAAAACAUAUGGCUUUUCAUAAGUACACGUCUACUGGAAAUUUGGAAGAAAAAGAAAAAGAAAAAUAUUAUGUAACUGCCAUUUGCCAAUCAUCAUAUUCUAUCUUGUUUAUAUGACUUCACAGGACAUGCAUUUAAGAUUUGGAUUCCAAAUAAGUUAUUAUAUUUGGUGUUUAUUCAUUUCAAAAGGUACUUUGGUUCCAUUGAAUUUAUAUUGAUAAUUGGAUGAUAUCAUAAUAUAUAUCCUUUUUUAAAGCCCAAUAUGGAUAGUUGCUUGUCUAAAAGCACUUGUUGCAUGACAAUGAGCAUGUGUUCGUGAUAUAAAGAUAAAAGGUAGGCAAGGCAUUGGGUUUUCUUCUAAAGAAUUAAUUGUUUGGAUGCUAACAUUAAAAUCAAAGGAAAUGAAUGAUGACUUACUGACUGUGUUUAGUUAUAUAUGAUUGCACGUAGAUGCAAGUUUUGGAAAUGAAAUGGUACGAAAACUACAUUGGUAAGUAAGGGAAUGUUCUUAAAACCUACUAUAUAAUGAUAUUUGUAAUGGUAACCCAACCGUGCUCAAUGACAAUCCCAAGAUGUUGGUUCAAUGGGACAACUAAGUUUUGAAGAUUCAAUAAGCACUUGAGAGUUAUCUCCUACACAUUCCUAAAAUAAGAAAAGUGUUACCUACAAAAGUUUUAGAUUAAUUUAUACUUUUAAUGAUUCUUAUAUCUUAGAGAAACCAAGUGGAAUACGGUAGGUACUCUUACUAGGAGAUCGCCUAUAUAUGUGAAGUGGGGCCACUACCUUUAUAAUAUUUCAAAGUUUGAAUUCACUAAAAUACUUUUUUUUUUUUUUUUUUUUGAUAAUCCAGGUGUCCCAGCUUAGCCGGACUAAAUCCUGGACCUCUAGCCCCCGGCCCCUCAGUGACUAGUGGAGGUAAAUCGCAGGUUGUGCCCUUGUUGGUUCCCAGGUUCCCACAUGGCUUUUACUCCUUCCCCAAAGAGACCCUCCUCCAUGGUUAUUACAUCACCAAGCUGCUCCAACCCUUCCUCUGGUUAUUACAUCACUUGGCUGCUCCAACCAGGAAUCGAACUCCCCACACUUGGUUCCAGAGCCC